GAUGAACGCUGGCGGCGUGCCUAAUACAUGCAAGUCGAGCGAACAGACGAGGAGCUUGCUCCUUUGACGUUAGCGGCGGACGGGUGAGUAACACGUGGGUAACCUACCUAUAAGACUGGGAUAACUUCGGGAAACCGGAGCUAAUACCGGAUAAUAUUUCGAACCGCAUGGUUCGAUAGUGAGAGAUGGCUCUGCUAUCACUUAUAGAUGGACCUGCGCCGUAUUAGCUAGUUGGUAAGGUAACGGCUUACCAAGGCAACGAUACGUAGCCGACCUGAGAGGGUGAUCGGCCACACUGGAACUGAGACACGGUCCAGACUCCUACGGGAGGCAGCAGUAGGGAAUCUUCCGCAAUGGGCGAAAGCCUGACGGAGCAACGCCGCGUGAGUGAUGAAGGUCUUCGGAUCGUAAAACUCUGUUAUUAGGGAAGAACAAACGUGUAAGUAACUGUGCACGUCUUGACGGUACCUAAUCAGAAAGCCACGGCUAACUACGUG
RNAcentral lists this ribosomal RNA (497 nucleotides) under uncultured bacterium. RNAcentral's name for it is "partial 16S ribosomal RNA". It matches the Rfam family "Bacterial small subunit ribosomal RNA", at positions 28 to 507 of the family's 1533-position model. The record is from RNAcentral.